Molecule: ribosomal RNA, 512 nt
Filed under: uncultured bacterium
Lineage: Bacteria
Description: partial 16S ribosomal RNA
Rfam family: Bacterial small subunit ribosomal RNA
Source: RNAcentral
GACGAACGCUGGCGGCGUGCCUAAUACAUGCAAGUCGAGCGAAUCAACAGGAGCUUGCUCCUGUUGAUUAGCGGCGGACGGGUGAGUAACACGUGGGCAACCUGCCUGUAAGACUGGGAUAACACCGGGAAACCGGUGCUAAUACCGGAUAAUCUUUUUCCUCUCAUAAGGAAAAACUGAAAGUCGGUUUCGGCUGACACUUACAGAUGGGCCCGCGGCGCAUUAGCUAGUUGGUGAGGUAACGGCUCACCAAGGCGACGAUGCGUAGCCGACCUGAGAGGGUGAUCGGCAACACUGGGACUGAGACACGGCCCAGACUCCGACGGGAGGCAGCAGUAGGGAAUCUUCCACAAUGGACGAAAGUCUGAUGGAGCAACGCCGCGUGAGCGAUGAAGGCCUUCGGGUCGUAAAGCUCUGUUGUUAGGGAAGAACAAGUACCGGAGUAACUGCCGGUACCUUGACGGUACCUAACCAGAAAGCCACGGCUAACUACGUGCCAGCCGCCGCAGUAA